UAAAGUUUUGUAUUGAAUGAAAAACACAUACACAUAAUUCAUCAAAAUUAGUCUUGUGUUAAGCAACAAUGUGGUCUAUAGUAGUGGAUCCCAUUAGAGAUCUUAUUGCAAGAAUUAUGCAACAUGCCAUCCAUAAAGAUUUCCAUGAAAUUGUGUCUAAAAUGACACCCAUCGAUGCUUUUAUCUUCCUUGUACAAAUA
Molecule: long non-coding RNA, 200 nt
Filed under: Trifolium pratense (red clover)
Lineage: Eukaryota; Viridiplantae; Streptophyta; Magnoliopsida; Fabales; Fabaceae
Description: long non-coding RNA (TPRA_LNC008249)
Source: RNAcentral